This 82-nucleotide ribosomal RNA is filed under the name Idiomarina sp. H105. Its description in RNAcentral is "partial 16S ribosomal RNA". It matches the Rfam family "Bacterial small subunit ribosomal RNA", at positions 1457 to 1533 of the family's 1533-position model. Lineage: Bacteria; Pseudomonadati; Pseudomonadota; Gammaproteobacteria; Alteromonadales; Idiomarinaceae. The record is from RNAcentral. RNAcentral also lists the same sequence under 1 other name.
CCACGGUGUGGUUCAUGACUGGGGUGAAGUCGUAACAAGGUAGCCGUAGGGGAACCUGCGGCUGGAUCACCUCCUUAAACGA